UACGUAGGGUGCGAGCGUUAAUCGGAAUUACUGGGCGUAAAGCGUGCGCAGGCGGUUUUGUAAGACAGGCGUGAAAUCCCCGGGCUUAACCUGGGAACUGCGUUUGUGACUGCAAGGCUAGAGUGUAGCAGAGGGGGGUAGAAUUCCACGUGUAGCAGUGAAAUGCGUAGAUAUGUGGAGGAAUACCGAUGGCGAAGGCAGCCCCCUGGGCUAACACUGACGCUCAUGCACGAAAGCGUGGGGAGCAAACAGGAUUAGAAACCCUUGUAGU
RNAcentral lists this ribosomal RNA (271 nucleotides) under uncultured bacterium. RNAcentral describes it as "partial 16S ribosomal RNA". It matches the Rfam family "Bacterial small subunit ribosomal RNA", at positions 524 to 794 of the family's 1533-position model. The record is from RNAcentral.